ACGCACGUAGUGGCCCUGAGUAAAGAAUCUUCGGACGGGGGUUCGACUCCCCCCGCCUCCACCA
This 64-nucleotide transfer-messenger RNA is filed under the name Deltaproteobacteria bacterium. Its description in RNAcentral is "partial transfer-messenger RNA". It matches the Rfam family "transfer-messenger RNA", at positions 310 to 374 of the family's 374-position model. Rfam says of the family: Bacterial tmRNA, also known as 10Sa RNA or SsrA, is named for its dual tRNA and mRNA-like properties. Its role is to liberate the mRNA from a stalled ribosome. To accomplish this part of the tmRNA is used as a reading frame that ends in a translation stop signal. Lineage: Bacteria; Pseudomonadati; Myxococcota; Myxococcia. The record is from RNAcentral.